Bufo gargarizans (Asiatic toad) is the source of this 299-nucleotide long non-coding RNA. RefSeq lists it as uncharacterized. The record is from RefSeq and is a predicted model, not a curated record. The transcript is spliced from 3 exons. NCBI's taxonomy places the organism in Eukaryota, Metazoa, Chordata, Amphibia, Anura, Bufonidae.
GCACAGCCUGGAGCCCUACUACUGCAUGGUGGUAGAAAUCACAGCCCAGGAGGCUCCAUAGUGAAGGGUUUUCAGAGGAGGACACGCCUGCCCCCAGGUUCCUACAAUAUAGGAUCCGCUCAGUGGAUAUCUUCUAUAUAAGAUCCUUCUCCUGAUUGACCCGACAAGGAUGGACAAGGAGAAGAUGGCGGAGAGUAUAAUAAAUCUCACCCUAGAGAUCCUCUUCCGGCUUACUGGAGAGGACUACACAGUAGUGAAGAAGACCUCUAAUGAGCGCUGUCAGGACCCUGUGUCUGAAG